UACAGAGGCCCCGAGCGUUAAUCGGAAUCACUGGGCUUAAAGGGUGCGUAGGCGGGUCAGUAAGCGCUUUGUGAAAGCCCCCGGCUCAACCGGGGAGGGUCGUUGGGUACGGCGGAGCUUGAGGGCGGUAGAGGUUGGUGGAAUUCCCGGUGUAGUGGUGAAAUGCGUAGAGAUCGGGAGGAACACCUGUGGCGAAGGCGGCCAACUGGGCCGACCCUGACGCUGAGGCGCGAAGGCGUGGGGAGCGAACGGG
RNAcentral lists this ribosomal RNA (253 nucleotides) under uncultured bacterium. Its description in RNAcentral is "partial 16S ribosomal RNA". It matches the Rfam family "Bacterial small subunit ribosomal RNA", at positions 524 to 776 of the family's 1533-position model. The record is from RNAcentral.